ACAAAAUGACUCUCGGCAACGGAUAUCUCGGCUCUUGCAUCGAUGAAGAACGUAGCGAAAUGCGAUACGUGGUGUGAAUUGCAGAAUCCCGUGAACCAUCGAGUUUUUGAACGCAAGUUGCGCCCAAAGCCUUUUGGUUGAGGGCACGUCUGCCUGG
This 157-nucleotide ribosomal RNA is filed under the name Garcinia celebica. RNAcentral's name for it is "5.8S ribosomal RNA". It matches the Rfam family "5.8S ribosomal RNA". From Rfam's summary of the family: 5.8S ribosomal RNA (5.8S rRNA) is a component of the large subunit of the eukaryotic ribosome. It is transcribed by RNA polymerase I as part of the 45S precursor that also contains 18S and 28S rRNA. Lineage: Eukaryota; Viridiplantae; Streptophyta; Magnoliopsida; Malpighiales; Clusiaceae. The record is from RNAcentral.